CACCAGGUUGAUUCUGCCUGACGUAGAUGCUAGUCUCGAAGACUAAGCCAUGCAUGCCCGUGAACCGCGAGGGGAACGGCGAACGGCUCAGUAAUACUGCGACCAUCUGCCCUCUGCGGGAAAUAACCAGGGGAAACUGUGGCUAAGAGCGGAGGUUGAGACGCAGUCCUAUCAGCUUGUUGGCAGUGUAACGGACUGCCAAGGCGGCGACGGGUGACGGGAGAUUGGGGUCUGACACCGGAGAGGGAGCCUGAGAGAUGGCUCCCACGUCCAAGGACGGCAGCAGCCGCGGUAAUACCGACUCCAAGAGUGUCUAUGGUGGAUGCUGCAGUUAAGACGUCUGUAGUCGUGCUGCACUGAAAGGGCGCUGGUUGAGGGCGCAGUCGGUGCAACGGGUUGCGGAGCGGACAGGGUGCGCGGUAUAGGCGGGCGAGAGAUGAAAUGCCAAGACCCCGCCUGGACCGACGGGGGCGCAGGCGGCGCGCCUGGACGCGUCUGGGGAUCAAGGACGAAGGCUGGAGGAUCGAAAGUGAUUAGAGACCGCUGUAGUUCCAGCAGUAAACGAUGCCGGCACUGCGUGGCGCAGGCUGCGCGGGGGCGAAAGCUUAGCGUUCGGGCUCUGGGGAUAGUAUGCUCGCAAGUGUGAAAAUUGAAGAAAUU
Molecule: ribosomal RNA, 660 nt
Filed under: Microsporidium sp. BPAR14 PAR2
Lineage: Eukaryota; Fungi; Microsporidia
Description: SSU rRNA
Rfam family: Microsporidia small subunit ribosomal RNA
Source: RNAcentral